AUGAAGCUGGAAUCGCUAGUAAUCGCGAAUCAGAAUGUCGCGGUGAAUACGUUCCCGGGUCUUGUACACACCGCCCGUCACACCAUGGGAGUCGGAGAUACCCGAAGCCUGUGAGCUUAACUUUUUAAGAGGCAGCAGUCGAAGGUAGAAUCAAUGAUUGGGGUGAAGUCGUAACAAGGUACC
RNAcentral lists this ribosomal RNA (183 nucleotides) under uncultured bacterium. Its description in RNAcentral is "partial 16S ribosomal RNA". It matches the Rfam family "Bacterial small subunit ribosomal RNA", at positions 1320 to 1500 of the family's 1533-position model. The record is from RNAcentral.